This 67-nucleotide ribosomal RNA is filed under the name Pseudonocardia ammonioxydans. RNAcentral's name for it is "16S rRNA. Bacterial SSU". It matches the Rfam family "Bacterial small subunit ribosomal RNA", at positions 1 to 65 of the family's 1533-position model. Lineage: Bacteria; Bacillati; Actinomycetota; Actinomycetes; Pseudonocardiales; Pseudonocardiaceae. The record is from RNAcentral.
UUUUGUUGGAGAGUUUGAUCCUGGCUCAGGACGAACGCUGGCGGCGUGCUUAACACAUGCAAGUCGA